GUCGAACGAGUUCUCGUUGAUGAUCGGUGCUUGCACCGAGAUUCAACAUGGAACGAGUGGCGGACGGGUGAGUAACACGUGGGUAACCUGCCCUUAAGUGGGGGAUAACAUUUGGAAACAGAUGCUAAUACCGCAUAGAUCCAAGAACCGCAUGGUUCUUGGCUGAAAGAUGGCGUAAGCUAUCGCUUUUGGAUGGACCCGCGGCGUAUUAGCUAGUUGGUGAGGUAAUGGCUCACCAAGGCGAUGAUACGUAGCCGAACUGAGAGGUUGAUCGGCCACAUUGGGACUGAGACACGGCCCAAACUCCUACGGGAGGCAGCAGUAGGGAAUCUUCCACAAUGGACGCAAGUCUGAUGGAGCAACGCCGCGUGAGUGAAGAAGGCUUUCGGGUCGUAAAACUCUGUUGUUGGAGAAGAAUGGUCGGCAGAGUAACUGUUGCCGGCGUGACGGUAUCCAACCAGAAAGCCACGGCUAACUACGUGCCAGCAGCCGCGGUAAUACGUAGGUGGCAAGCGUUAUCCGGAUUUAUUGGGCGUAAAGCGAGCGCAGGCGGUUUUUUAAGUCUGAUGUGAAAGCCCUCGGCUUAACCGAGGAAGCGCAUCGGAAACUGGGAAACUUGAGUGCAGAAGAGGACAGUGGAACUCCAUGUGUAGCG
RNAcentral lists this ribosomal RNA (655 nucleotides) under Lacticaseibacillus paracasei subsp. paracasei. RNAcentral describes it as "bacterial SSU rRNA". It matches the Rfam family "Bacterial small subunit ribosomal RNA", at positions 61 to 680 of the family's 1533-position model. Lineage: Bacteria; Bacillati; Bacillota; Bacilli; Lactobacillales; Lactobacillaceae. The record is from RNAcentral.